This 810-nucleotide ribosomal RNA is filed under the name uncultured Bacillota bacterium. Its description in RNAcentral is "bacterial SSU rRNA". It matches the Rfam family "Bacterial small subunit ribosomal RNA", at positions 111 to 926 of the family's 1533-position model. The record is from RNAcentral. Lineage: Bacteria; Bacillati; Bacillota.
UAACACGUGGAUAACCUUCCUUCAGGUGGGGAAUAACCCAGUGAAAAUUGGGCUAAUACCGCAUCACAUUACGAGGGCACAUGCUCUUGUACUCAAAGCCGCAAGGCGCCAGAAGAGGGAUCCGCGGCCGAUUAGCUUGUUGGCGAGGUAAUGGCUCACCAAGGCAAUGAUCGGUAUCCGGACUGAGAGGUUGGCCGGACACACUGGAACUGAGACACGGUCCAGACUCCUACGGGAGGCAGCAGUGGGGAAUCUUGCGCAAUGGGCGAAAGCCUGACGCAGCAACGCCGCGUGGGGGAUGAAGCUUCUCGGAGUGUAAACCCCUUUCGACCCGGAAGAAUGUCCGCAAGGACUUGACGGUACGGGUAUAAGAAGCCCCGGCUAACUACGUGCCAGCAGCCGCGGUAAUACGUAGGGGGCCAGCGUUGCUCGGAAUUACUGGGCGUAAAGGGUCCGUAGGCGGUGUGGCAAGUCGGGAGUGAAAUCUCUGGGCUUAACUCAGAGGCUGCUUCCGAAACUGCCGUGCUAGAGUGUGAGAGAGGCGAGUGGAAUUGCGGGUGUAGCGGUGAAAUGCGUAGAUAUCCGCAGGAACAUCCGAGGCGAAAGCGGCUCGCUGGAUCACAACUGACGCUGAGGGACGAAAGCUAGGGGAGCAAACAGGAUUAGAUACCCUGGUAGUCCUAGCCCUAAACCAUCAGGACUUGGGGUUUGCCCUGUACGGGGCAAGUCCCGUAGCUAACGCGUUAAGUCCUGCGCCUGGGGAGUACGGUCGCAAGACUGAAACUCAAAGGAAUUGACGGGGGCCCGCAC